This 424-nucleotide ribosomal RNA is filed under the name uncultured bacterium. RNAcentral's name for it is "bacterial SSU rRNA". It matches the Rfam family "Bacterial small subunit ribosomal RNA", at positions 355 to 796 of the family's 1533-position model. The record is from RNAcentral.
UAGGGAAUCUUGGACAAUGGGCGAAAGCCUGAUCCAGCCAUGCCGCGUGAGUGAAGAAGGCCUUAGGGUUGUAAAACUCUUUCGCCGGUGAAGAUAAUGACGGUAGCCGGAGAAGAAGCCCCGGCUAACUUCGUGCCAGCAGCCGCGGUAAUACGAAGGGGGCUAGCGUUGUUCGGAAUUACUGGGCGUAAAGCGCACGUAGGCGGAUCCGUAAGUUGGGGGUGAAAGCCCAGGGCUCAACCCUGGAAUUGCCUUCAAGACUGCGGGUCUGGAGGUCAGGAGAGGCGAGUGGAAUACCGAGUGUAGAGGUGAAAUUCGUAGAUAUUCGGUGGAACACCAGUGGCGAAGGCGACUCGCUGGACUGAUACUGACGCUGAGGUGCGAAAGCGUGGGGAGCAAACAGGAUUAGAUACCCCGGUAGUCC